Molecule: long non-coding RNA, 657 nt
Organism: Saccostrea echinata
Lineage: Eukaryota; Metazoa; Mollusca; Bivalvia; Ostreida; Ostreidae
Exons: 5
Source: RefSeq, a predicted model, not a curated record
AACAAUGGACCAAAUUAUCUUGCACAUGUUGAUGGGUACUACAAGUUGAAGCCAUUUGGCUUCGCUAUACAUGGUGCAAUGUGUGGAUUUUCAAGACGAAUACUAUGGCUUAAAGUUGAAAGAACAAACAAUGACUCCUUUGUUGUAGCAUCAUAUUUCUUGAAAUUCCUGGAGGAAAUAAAUAGUGCUCCAAGGUGUGAGACUUGAUGCUGGAACUGAGAAUAUAUACAUUGAGGACAUUCAAAAAUCCUUCCGUUGGUACGAUAAUGAUGACAUGUGUGGAGAAAAGAGUGUAAUCAAAGGAAGAUCAAUGUCUAACCAGAGAAUUGAACGCUGGUGGAGAACACUGAGAGAGAUGGGCAUCUCCUUCUGGAUACACUUGUUCAAAAACAUGAAAGACCAAGGGAUGUUCUCAUCAGCAAAUAAAGAGCACAUGUGCAGUAGAUUAUAAAUUUCCAGUGGAUAUUCAUGACGUGCUAGAGUUUCAAAGAUUAUUUCCUAGUCCAAGCUCGACAGGACGUGUGAGGACAAUGCAGCAUACUUUGAUCAUUUGCUUUUGGAGGGUGGGAGAACUGUUCCAAACACCACUGAGAAGGCCAUGGAGGCUUUGAAGUACUUGGUUGGAAAGUUGUAAAAUCCAAAUUAAGAUUAGAGAAU